AUGGACGAAAGCUCAACAGCUACGCCGCGUGAGGGAUGAAGGUGCUCUGCAUUGUAAACCUCUGUAGUUGGGGAAAAAUGGCGGGUUACUACCCGUUUGAUGGUACCCAAAAAGUAAGGAUCGGCUAACUACGUGCCAGCAGCCGCGGUAAUACGUAGGAUCCAAGCGUUGUCCGGAUUUACUGGGUGUAAAGGGUGCGCAGGCGGACUGGUUAGUCAGGGGUGAAAUCCCGUCGCUUAACGACGGACCUGCCUUUGAUACUGCCAGUCUUGAAUUAGCGAGAGGUUCGUGGAAUUCCGAGUGUAGCAGUGAAAUGUGUAGAUAUUCGGAAGAACACCAGUGGCGAAGGCAGCGAACUGGCGCUAUAUUGACGCUCAGGCACGAAAGCAUGGGGAUCAAACAGGAUUAGAUACCCUGGUAGUCCAUGCCCUAAACGAUGAUCACUUGGUGUCGGCCGCAAGGUCGGUGCCGGAGCUAACGCGUUAAGUGAUCCACCUGGGGAGUACGCUCGCAAGGGUGAAACUCAAAGGAAUUGACGGGGGCCCGCACAAGCAGUGGAGCAUGUGGUUUAAUUCGAUGCAACGCGAAGAACCUUACCUAGGCUUGAGAGGCUGUUCACAUCCCAUGA
This 628-nucleotide ribosomal RNA is filed under the name uncultured bacterium. RNAcentral describes it as "bacterial SSU rRNA". It matches the Rfam family "Bacterial small subunit ribosomal RNA", at positions 371 to 1004 of the family's 1533-position model. The record is from RNAcentral.